UUUGAAACCUAAGGCCCAUGACUUGUCUCAGGCUUUUAUAUCCUGUCUCCCCCGUGCCGAGAGAGGGCUUUGUGGUUUUUAAGGAGGUGCUUGAAAACACGAGCUGGGGGUUCCCUAAGGGUGGGAAACCAGACAGCAUAGGGCAGCGCCGGGGCAUCUUCUUCUGCAGCUUCUUUGUGCCCUGGGGCAGGUAAACAGCCCCGCAUCCUGCUCUCCAAUGACCCAUCACUUGCAUCAGAAUACCCUUUGGCGGGGAAAGCCAGGAGAAGAAGCUGAGUAACUCCCUAUUCGCUAUUUGCUGGCAGAGGCAGGAAGCGAGGUCUGUUUGAUGCUUUGAUAUAAGGAGAGAAAAAAGCUCCUUUUUAUUGUUUGUUUGUUUCUGGGGCCUCGGAGGCUCACCUGGGACUAUGCGUGUUGGUCAUUUCCAGCUGGAUCUGGGAUUUCCCACUGUAGGGACCAGAACAAUAGCUUCGCCGGCACAGAUGUGGGA
This 490-nucleotide long non-coding RNA is filed under the name Cyanistes caeruleus (blue tit). RNAcentral's name for it is "lncRNA (ENSCCEG00000003228.1)". Lineage: Eukaryota; Metazoa; Chordata; Aves; Passeriformes; Paridae. The record is from RNAcentral.